RNAcentral lists this ribosomal RNA (419 nucleotides) under uncultured bacterium. RNAcentral describes it as "bacterial SSU rRNA". It matches the Rfam family "Bacterial small subunit ribosomal RNA", at positions 359 to 776 of the family's 1533-position model. The record is from RNAcentral.
GAAUAUUGGUCAAUGGAUGCAAGUCUGAACCAGCCAUGCCGCGUGCAGGAAGACGGCCUUCUGGGUUGUAAACUGCUUUUGUCAGGGGAUAAAAAGACCUUGCGAGGUUAAUUGAAGGUACCUGGCGAAUAAGCCACGGCUAACUACGUGCCAGCAGCCGCGGUAAUACGUAGGUGGCAAGCGUUGUCCGGAUUUAUUGGGUUUAAAGGGUGCGUAGGCGGCCUAUUAAGUCAGUAGUGAAAUAUCACAGCUUAACUGGGAGGGUGCUAUUGAUACUGAUGGGCUUGAGUACAGAUGAGGUAGGCGGAAUUGACGGUGUAGCGGUGAAAUGCAUAGAUAUCGUCAAGAACACUGAUAGCGAAGGCAGCUUACUAAGUUGUAACUGACGCUGAUGCACGAAAGUGUGGGGAUCAAACAGG